AAUUAUCUUCAGGGCAGGGUGUGAAUCCCUACCGGCGGUAAAGCCCGCGAGCCGUAAGGCAUGAUUCGGUGAAAUUCCGAGGCCGACAGUAAAGUCUGGAUGAAAGAAGAUAGGC
RNAcentral lists this non-coding RNA (115 nucleotides) under Clostridium sp. Its description in RNAcentral is "FMN sequence". It matches the Rfam family "FMN riboswitch aptamer (RFN element)". Rfam says of the family: The RFN element is a highly conserved domain that is found frequently in the 5'-untranslated regions of prokaryotic mRNAs that encode for flavin mononucleotide (FMN) biosynthesis and transport proteins. This element is a metabolite-dependent riboswitch that directly binds FMN in the absence of proteins. In Bacillus subtilis, the riboswitch most likely controls gene expression by causing premature transcription termination within the 5' untranslated region of the ribDEAHT operon and precluding access to the ribosome-binding site of ypaA mRNA. The record is from RNAcentral. Lineage: Bacteria; Bacillati; Bacillota; Clostridia; Eubacteriales; Clostridiaceae. RNAcentral also lists the same sequence under 1 other name.